GCCGUCAUAGCGCAAUGGUAGCGCAUCACCUUCCUACGAUGUAGUUAGGUGGGGGUUGCGGGUUCGACCCCCGUUGAUGGUA
Molecule: transfer RNA, 82 nt
Filed under: Heterobasidion irregulare TC 32-1
Lineage: Eukaryota; Fungi; Basidiomycota; Agaricomycetes; Russulales; Bondarzewiaceae
Rfam family: tRNA
About the family: Transfer RNA (tRNA) molecules are approximately 80 nucleotides in length. Their secondary structure includes four short double-helical elements and three loops (D, anti-codon, and T loops). Further hydrogen bonds mediate the characteristic L-shaped molecular structure. tRNAs have two regions of fundamental functional importance: the anti-codon, which is responsible for specific mRNA codon recognition, and the 3' end, to which the tRNAs corresponding amino acid is attached (by aminoacyl-tRNA synthetases). tRNAs cope with the degeneracy of the genetic code in two manners: having more than one tRNA (with a specific anti-codon) for a particular amino acid; and 'wobble' base-pairing, i.e. permitting non-standard base-pairing at the 3rd anti-codon position.
Source: Rfam by way of RNAcentral